CACGCCGUAAACGUUGGGCGCUAGGUGUGGGACUCAUUCCACGAGUUCCGUGCCGCAGCUAACGCAUUAAGCGCCCCGCCUGGGGAGUACGGCCGCAAGGCUAAAACUCAAAGGAAUUGACGGGGGCCCGCACAAGCGGCGGAGCAUGUGGAUUAAUUCGAUGCAACGCGAAGAACCUUACCAAGGCUUGACAUAUACCGGAAACAUCUAGAGAUAGAUGCCCCGCAAGGUCGGUAUACAGGUGG
This 245-nucleotide ribosomal RNA is filed under the name uncultured Janibacter sp. RNAcentral describes it as "partial 16S ribosomal RNA". It matches the Rfam family "Bacterial small subunit ribosomal RNA", at positions 796 to 1041 of the family's 1533-position model. The record is from RNAcentral. Lineage: Bacteria; Bacillati; Actinomycetota; Actinomycetes; Micrococcales; Intrasporangiaceae.